This 440-nucleotide ribosomal RNA is filed under the name uncultured bacterium. RNAcentral describes it as "partial 16S ribosomal RNA". It matches the Rfam family "Bacterial small subunit ribosomal RNA", at positions 338 to 795 of the family's 1533-position model. The record is from RNAcentral.
CCUACGGGAGGCUGCAGUGGGGGAUAUUGCACAAUGGGCGAAAGCCUGAUGCAGCGACGCCGCGUGAGCGAAGAAGGAUUUCGGAAUGUAAAGCUCUAUUAGCAGGGAAGAAAAUGACGGUAACUGACUAAGAAGCACCGGCUAAAUACGUGCCAGCAGCCGCGGUAAUACGGAGGGAGCAAGCGUUAUCCGGAUUUACUGGGUGUAAAGGGAGCGUAGGCGGGUCUGUAAGUCUGAUGUGAAAAUUUGGGGCUCAACCCCAAACUUGCAUUGGAAACUGCAGGGCUUGAGUGCGGGAGAGGUAGGCGGAAUUCCUGGUGUAGCGGUGAAAUGCGUAGAUAUUAGGAGGAACACCAGUGGCGAAGGCGGCCUGCUGGACGGUAACUGACGCUGAGGCUCGAAAGCGUGGGGAGCAAACAGGAUUAGAUACCCUAGUAGUC